This 1181-nucleotide long non-coding RNA is filed under the name Monodelphis domestica (gray short-tailed opossum). RNAcentral describes it as "lncRNA (ENSMODG00000046088.1)". The record is from RNAcentral. Lineage: Eukaryota; Metazoa; Chordata; Mammalia; Didelphimorphia; Didelphidae.
UGAUAACUUAGUGUUGCUGAGAAUGAAAUGUAUAAUAGUACAUAUUUAUAUAGUGUUUUAAGGUUUGUAAAGUUAUUUAAAUAUAUUAUUUAAUUUGAUGCUCACAGCUAUUCUGUGAGGUAGGUGCUGUUAUUUCCAUUUUACAGAUUAAGAAAUGGAUUUUCACAGAUAUUAAAUGAUUUGUACAUAUGUGAUAAGACCUGAAUUUUCCCUGGUUCCCUGUAAUAUGGAUUAGUUCUUAUCUAAAAGAUAACAAAGUUAUCCUUAGGAACUGAUUAUUGCCUGAUUCUCUUAAUGCAGUUUCCUGGGUACCUUAGGGCAUAGUGGAGAGGAAGAGUGACAAAAGAGUACAAUCAGAUAAAGGAAUUUUGUAUUUCAUGGAGGUAGAACACUUGUGGGUGAUGGCAAGAUUAAAGGAAUGAACAGUACUUUGUGUAACUGCGGUGGGAUGGAGAAGUUGGUUAGCUGUUGUCCUUAGUUCUCAAAGAGGACUAAAAUGACAUUGCUAUGUUAGGGUCAAUGUGCAGUAUGUUCUACUGUGACUGAUCAGAACACUAUGAGCUCAGAAGGCUCUAUCACAGGUAAGGCACAGGCUGUAUGAACAUUUGGCAUAGAAAUGUCUCCAAACUGGCACAUCUCGCAUUUCUUUUUUAAAUUGCUACUGCAGUUCUGCUUUGUGCAUAGAACAUAGAGGGACCGACCUGCAGUUCCUAUAUAAUUUAUCUGUGGGUGUGCCCUGAGAAGGAGAAUGGAGGCUAGAGGAAUAUGGAUGUGAGAUAGAUAAGGCAGUCAGGGCAAGAAAUAGAAAUAAAGAUUCAGAGACCACAAGUUAAAACACCUGGGGAGAAGCAAGCUCCUCUGUAGAUACCUCUCUAUUGGAAGAUAACAGAGUGGAGAAAUUAUAAGUAUGAGAAACAAGAGCACCUGCGUGGAGCUGAGAAUUCUGGGACAUCCCCCAUGGACCAGGUGGUCAAGAGAUUAAUGGGAGAUGUGCGGGGAAGCUGUGCUGCGUAAGUCAGUCAGACAUGAGGAGGCCAUUAUAGGCCAUAGCAAGAUUAAGAGGUGCAAAGGAGCAACAGCAAGAGCAAGGGCUGUGAGAGCAAGAGGGAUGACAUAAAACUGGGAAGGAAAGAUGACACAUUGGAUGACAGUCAGGAACCACAAAGAUUUCAACAGACCAG